RNAcentral lists this unclassified non-coding RNA (214 nucleotides) under Phylloporus sp. Its description in RNAcentral is "partial contains small subunit ribosomal RNA, internal transcribed spacer 1, and 5.8S ribosomal RNA". The stretch from base 1 to 46 matches the Rfam family "Eukaryotic small subunit ribosomal RNA", at positions 1786 to 1831 of the family's 1831-position model. The record is from RNAcentral. Lineage: Eukaryota; Fungi; Basidiomycota; Agaricomycetes; Boletales; Boletaceae.
AAGUCGUAACAAGGUUUCCGUAGGUGAACCUGCGGAAGGAUCAUUAACAAACAGCAAAGCAUAUGCGAAGCAUAAGCGAAGCACGCACAAUGUGUCAUGAAGUGUGCUGAUGGUGUCCCGGUGGGGAGUGGGAGCGCAGCAUGAACAACGAUUGUCAUAAAACAGUAUGUACGUAUAACAACAACAACUUUUAACAAUGGAUCUCUUGGCUCUU